AUCCAGAGAAUUUAGCAGAGAUGCUUUAGUGCCUUCGGGAACUCUGAGACAGGUGCUGCAUGGCUGUCGUCAGCUCGUGUUGUGAAAUGUUGGGUUAAGUCCCGNAACGAGCGCAACCCUUAUCCUUUGUUGCCAGCACGUAAUGGUGGGAACUCAAAGGAGACUGCCGGUGAUAAACCGGAGGAAGGUGGGGAUGACGUCAAGUCAUCAUGGCCCUUACGAGUAGGGCUACACACGUGCUACAAUGGCGCAUACAAAGAGAAGCGACCUCGCGAGAGCAAGCGGACCUCAUAAAGUGCGUCGUAGUCCGGAUUGGAGUCUGCAACUCGACUCCAUGGAAGUCGGAAUCGCUAGUAAUCGUAAAUCAGAAUGUUACGGUGAAUACGUUCCCGGGCCUUGUACACACCGCCCGUCACACCAUGGGAGUGGGUUGCAAAAGAAGUAGAUAGCUUAACCUUCGGGAGGGCGUUUACCACUUUGUGAUUCAUGACUGGGGUGAAGUCGUAACAAGGUAGGCGUAGUGCU
RNAcentral lists this ribosomal RNA (525 nucleotides) under uncultured bacterium. RNAcentral's name for it is "bacterial SSU rRNA". It matches the Rfam family "Bacterial small subunit ribosomal RNA", at positions 986 to 1509 of the family's 1533-position model. The record is from RNAcentral.